GACGAACGCUGGCGGCGUGCCUAAUACAUGCAAGUAGAACGCUGAAGGAGGAGCUUGCUUCUCUGGAUGAGUUGCGAACGGGUGAGUAACGCGUAGGUAACCUGCCUGGUAGCGGGGGAUAACUAUUGGAAACGAUAGCUAAUACCGCAUAACAGUAGAUGUUGCAUGACAUUUGCUUAAAAGGUGCAAUUGCAUCACUACCAGAUGGACCUGCGUUGUAUUAGCUAGUUGGUGGGGUAACGGCUCACCAAGGCGACGAUACAUAGCCGACCUGAGAGGGUGAUCGGCCACACUGGGACUGAGACACGGCCCAGACUCCUACGGGAGGCAGCAGUAGGGAAUCUUCGGCAAUGGACGAAAGUCUGACCGAGCAACGCCGCGUGAGUGAAGAAGGUUUUCGGAUCGUAAAGCUCUGUUGUAAGAGAAGAACGAGUGUGAGAGUGGAAAGUUCACACUG
RNAcentral lists this ribosomal RNA (457 nucleotides) under Streptococcus mitis. Its description in RNAcentral is "bacterial SSU rRNA". It matches the Rfam family "Bacterial small subunit ribosomal RNA", at positions 28 to 471 of the family's 1533-position model. Lineage: Bacteria; Bacillati; Bacillota; Bacilli; Lactobacillales; Streptococcaceae. The record is from RNAcentral.